This is an RNA transcript of Mauremys mutica (yellowpond turtle), 3465 nucleotides long. It is a transcript of the gene named maestro heat-like repeat family member 5, with no coding region annotated. The transcript has 17 exons. The record is from RefSeq and is a predicted model, not a curated record. NCBI's taxonomy places the organism in Eukaryota, Metazoa, Chordata, Testudines, Geoemydidae.
UUCAGCAUUCUUGCCCUGCCUUCAGUCUGCCAACUGGCUUGGUUGACAACGGCUGGUGACCCAAGGAGCUGCUGAUAGACGCGUACUAGCCAUCUCUCAACAACUUCUUGAAUCAGCUAUUUCCACAGGUGUUCGAAAGAAGAUGAGUUUUUACAGAAGGCUUCGUUCCUUUUUCCAAAGACUCGCCUCUAGGGAGCACAGAGAGAUCCGUGUGCACAAAGUGCUUGUCCAACCUGUAGCAAUGGGGGCAUGCUCUGACAUUAGCCAGCAAGAACAGGCCUUGCCAGAGAAGCCCCAGAGAAGGAAAUGUUCAUGGUCCAUCCUGUCAGGCAUGAAAAGACUCUGUGUCUGUAGCCAAUCUGACACCUCGAUGGCAGACAGGGAUGAGGAGAGAACAAUUUCCUCACAAAGAAGGUGGAGGCACUUGUCCCGGAAGAAGAUAGCAGCUGAGAACCAGGUGGAGUCAGAGGAGGUGAAGCUGCAGGAGGAUACAGGGAAAGUUGAACUGGAUCCUACAGGGACGAAGAAGGAGGCGUCGGAGUCGCAGGGGAAGUGGGAAAAAGGGAGCCCAGAAGAGCAGGAAGAAGAGCGCACUCCCACCCCCUCAUUACCACGCAGCUCCCAUAUGACCAUGACCCCCGGGGAGCAGCUUCCCUCAGCCCAGCUCCAAGCCCUGCUGAUGAGAGCCGUGAAGGGUCUGACGACACCCACCCUGGAGCGAUUUCAAGCCGCCGAGGAAGAGCUGAGGACCAUCGUAUCUCUACACGGAGACAAGAUGGAGAGAGUUGGAGACGUCGUGGGACGUAUCUUAAUCUGGCUGGACAACGUCUGUCAUCCCAGAGCCAGAAAAGCAGCACUGAGGGCCACGGCCUUGCUGGCUCGUUCCCACCCCCAGGACGUGGUUCUGAGCUGUGUGGCGCACACGCUGUCCUCGGACAGAUGUGCCAUUGAGCUGUGGAAGGCCUUGGGGGAAGAACCACAGCUCCCCAGGGAGGUGCUGCGGCAGCUGCUGGACAAGCUCCAGCAGAGAUGCCGGGAGGAGAAGAGCGGCAAUGUGUCCCUGGCUGCAAUGAGGACCAUUUACGAGGUCCUUUUCCUAUGGGGAUACCGAGAAGCCAUCCUGGAAAUGUAUCCCCAGAUGCUCAUUCUCUGCGUCAGGCAAGUGCAGUAUGUGAUGGAUCUGCACUUGCCAGGGACCUACAUGGCCAGCACGACAUCCAGCCCCAAGGAGGGAUCCAGCUGCCUCAACCCCCUAAGCACAUCGGUGGAGGCUGUGAAGACUCUUUUUUCCAUGCCCGGAUACUGGAAGGAAUUUGCCAGCAUCCAAUUUCAGCAGGGUUGGGACAUGAUAUCUUCACGAUAUUACUAUUCGCAAGGUGUUGGCCUGAUUGCAAGAGCCAUGAUAGAGUUUGAGAACCCUCAGCUCCCUGCCGUCUUCAGAGAGGCCGUCACCAUUGUCCAGAGGGAGAAGGAGGAGGAGCAGAGAAAUAUCGCCAUGACUUUCUGCACUGAGUUUCUCCAGAGUCCUUCCAUUGAUUCAAUAAUGACAAAAUCAGAGCUCCAGGCGCAGCUCAUGGAAUGGACCCAAGAUAAAAAUCCCAUUGUACGUCGGCUCAGUCUGCGAGGCCUUGGCAGUAUUGUGCUCCAGCCAGAAAAGGUGCAAUCGUUACGGGCCCAGCUGCCAGCGAUCAUGGACAUGUUCUGUGACAAGGACGGAGUGCGUGUCAUGGGGGCCAUGCAUCAAGCUGGACACAUCAUCUACCUCCUGAAUGGGGAGGGGCUUGGAUCCAUCUCCCAGGACAUUGCAGUCAGCCUUCGCCCCUUCAUUGAUGACGAGAGGGGCAGUGUGCGCUCCGCUGCCAUUUUACUGCUUGGCAACGUGGUGAGCAGCGUGAAGGACCCGGACAAACCCAUCGUGCAGCAGGAAAUGAUCCACUGCUUGCUCCCGCUGCUGCUGCAUCUUGAAGACCGGGAUGAGAGUGUGACACUGCGAUGCAAACUGACGCUCUUCCGCUGCGCAGUGUUUCUCAGGUGGGCUCAUUUGAAGAUGCUGUUCCGCAGCAUGGCCUGGGAUGGCUCCACACAGCUCAUGAAGUGUACCUGGAAGUGCUUGAUGCAGAACAACAAGAGCCACAUCCCCAAAUUCCUGUUCCAGGCCUUAGAGUACCUGGAAAGCUCACAGACAACAAUCAGACAUUCUGCAGCCCUGUUCAUUGGAAAUACUAUCCACCAUUACUGUGACUUGUUGUCUGAAACAGUGACUGAAGAUGGCAUCUCCCGCCUGUAUGAAGCUUUUCAGGAAGUGCCUUUGACAUCUGACAGCACCACAGGGCACAUCCUCAAUAGAUAUUACAAAUGGCUGCAGAAGCUUAGAAAUCUCGUGUCGGGUUCCGCAUUCGACUAGGGAACGGGACCGACACAGAAGACCUCUUUGUCCUGCUAUGGUACGUACAACAGCGUCUUUGGAACAAGGACUGAACAACGAGGUGGAUACUGGCAGAUGACAGACAAUUGUGUAGACAUCUAGAGGCUAACAGGAGCCAACUGAGCCCACCACUGAUCACACCUCUUGGGAGACGGCAAAGCAGCUGUUGCAUGGGAAGGAGGAGAGAGAAGAGGCAGAGCAGGAUGUGCCGGGGUGCACCAGUCACACAUAACCUCACAGUCUAGGUGGAGGAAGCCAAGCCCCUCCCCAGCCCUGCCGCACAUGCUACAACUGGAGCACCAGUGUGAAAGGGAGCAGCUCAGCUCGGUCUAGGCAGAUGCCGAAAAUGGAGGAUGCACAUUGUAGGCUCCAUUCCAGAAGCAGCUGAAGCCCCUGACUGCAGAGCCCCGAGGUGCCGAGACCCAACCCCAUCCCCGGGUGCCUGCAGACGUGCAAGGGAGCUCGGAGUCUCUGGGAGAUUCCCACCCCGGGAGCCCAGAGACCCCCAGCCCAUGGCCUAGAGACAUCUCGUAGGAAGUAACCUGGGAGAACUAGCCACCGUCAUGCUGAGUGACGUCAGAUGUUCUGGCUGGAUCCCCACUGACUCAGUGCCAAACACACUGGCCAUGGACAAGGCCCUGGGGUAGGACCUGGAGGGGAGUAACGAGGGCCUGAAUCCCCCUACCCUGGCCACCAUCCAUCCUUGGGUGGCAGCCCACCUCCCCAAUGUGCCACUAGACUGCACAACCCCAAGAGGAGGGGCGGCCAUCUUGUCUCUGAACUCUUAGCCAAACAGCCCUGCGCUGAAGGGCAGUGAUAUAGACUCUGGUCGUUGGGCCACACAGCACUGAGGGAGAGAGCAGCCAUAUUGUCUGGAGCCAUCGGGCCACACAGGCAUGAGAGACAGGAUAGCAGCACGGACUCUGGUCUCUGGGCCCCACAGCCCCGACGGGGAGGGCGGCCGCACGGACUCUGGUCGUCGGGCCACACAGCCCCGCCGGAGAGGGCGGCCGCACGGACUCUGGUCGUUGGGCCCCACA